Molecule: long non-coding RNA, 524 nt
Organism: Bubalus bubalis (water buffalo)
Lineage: Eukaryota; Metazoa; Chordata; Mammalia; Artiodactyla; Bovidae
Exons: 3
Source: RefSeq, a predicted model, not a curated record
CCCAGAGACCAGCCUAGACAAUGUGUGAACGUCCCUGGACCAACCUGCUGAAGGAUGAGACCCAUGACUCACUCACCCCUGCCACUGUAGUCAGCCAACUGCUGACAGACAGAGGACAACAGCCAGACACACAGGAGAACAUGAUCAGGCUGGCUGCUGGAGAAUGAGAGAGAGACGGUUCAGCCGUCCGGAUGGCUCCAAACAAUAACCAGCUGACCACCAAGCACAGGAGUGAGCCCGCCGGGACCGGAAGAACCGCAGGAAGAGAGUCCUCCCUUUACUUUGAAGAGAACAGUCACUUUGCAACAAAUGGUGGCCCUUUCAGACACAGAAGAGGUGACUGAAGGAUGAAGUCAUUUUUCCCCAGGGAGAAAACAUAGAGGCUCUUGGCUCCCAGGAGUUACAAAGUGUCUGGAAUGAAUAUGCUAAUGACUCAAGGAUUUAUACUUCUGUAUGUGUCCCUCCUGUUGAAAGUUCUACAGAUGGAAUGAGUGUAAAUGAAGCCUUUUCAGAUGGUGUAAGGA